RNAcentral lists this ribosomal RNA (685 nucleotides) under Hanseniaspora sp. LCF-03. RNAcentral's name for it is "eukaryotic LSU rRNA". The stretch from base 249 to 402 matches the Rfam family "5.8S ribosomal RNA". The record is from RNAcentral. Lineage: Eukaryota; Fungi; Ascomycota; Saccharomycetes; Saccharomycodales; Saccharomycodaceae.
UUUUCGAGCUGCCUGUGUGGCUGCAGACAGAGAGCUAAGCCUGUGCGCCUGCGCUUAAUUGCGCGGCUGCGGGUGGCGUUCUUGCUAUUGGCUGUAGUUUGCGCGGUGGUUUUGAUUUCAUUUCACACUGUGAAGAUUUUUUCAUACUUUACUUCUUUGGGCUGCAAGGCCCAGAGGUUAUAAACACAAACAACUUUUUUUUUUAUUACAAACAAUCAAGAAAUUUCUAUUGAAAUAAAAUAUUUUAAAACUUUCAACAACGGAUCUCUUGGUUCUCGCAUCGAUGAAGAACGUAGCGAAUUGCGAUAAGUAAUGUGAAUUGCAAAUUCUCGUGAAUCAUUGAAUUUUUGAACGCACAUUGCGCCCUCUGGUAUUCCAAAGGGCAUGCCUGUUUGAGCGUCAUUUCCUUCUCAAAAACCCAGUUUUUGGUUGUGAGUGAUACUCUGUUACAGGGUUAACUUGAAAAUGCUAUGCCCAUUUGGCUGCCCCUUCUCUGAGGGGACUGCGCGUCUGUGCAGGAUGUAACCAAUGUAUUUAGGUAUUCAUACCAACUUUCAUUGUGCGCGUCUUCUGCAGUUGUAGUCCACCCAACCUUGGACACACUGGGCUGGCUGGGCCAACAGUAUUCAUAAAGUUUGACCUCAAAUCAGGUAGGAGUACCCGCUGAACUUAAGCAUAUCAAUAA